GGUAACCUACCUAUAAGACUGGAAUAACUUCGGGAAACCGGAGCUAAUGCCGGAUAACAUAUAGAACCGCAUGGUUCUAUAGUGAAAGAUGGUUUUGCUAUCACUUAUAGAUGGACCCGCGCCGUAUUAGCUAGUUGGUAAGGUAAUGGCUUACCAAGGCGACGAUACGUAGCCGACCUGAGAGGGUGAUCGGCCACACUGGAACUGAGACACGGUCCAGACUCCUACGGGAGGCAGCAGUAGGGAAUCUUCCGCAAUGGGCGAAAGCCUGACGGAGCAACGCCGCGUGAGUGAUGAAGGUUUUCGGAUCGUAAAACUCUGUUAUUAGGGAAGAACAAAUGCGUAAGUAACUGUGCGCAUCUUGAC
This 366-nucleotide ribosomal RNA is filed under the name Staphylococcus succinus. Its description in RNAcentral is "bacterial SSU rRNA". It matches the Rfam family "Bacterial small subunit ribosomal RNA", at positions 120 to 473 of the family's 1533-position model. Lineage: Bacteria; Bacillati; Bacillota; Bacilli; Caryophanales; Staphylococcaceae. The record is from RNAcentral.